CGAUUUUGUCCAUGACUCCAUCUCCAAAAUGCUCCUCUACCUCUCUCUCUCUCUCCACGGCGGGCCGGCUGCCUCGGCGGCCCGGUAGUCUGCCUGCCCGAGUGCCGCCCCCUCAAGAUGCCGCGCCAGACGCUCGCCAUCGUCAAUGCGAAAGCCAGGUCCGAUCUAGGGGUAGGGCUCUCGAUUUUUGUCUCAAUGUUGUUCCAGGGGAUAGGAUUGGGCCUUUCCAGAUCUGUGGGGACGAAGAUUGCAGGAAGAGGGCCGAGAAUGCGCAAGUCGCUCGCGGAGUCGCGGUGCUUUUGGGGAAAAAGAGUUGGAUCUUUGCUGAAGCUCGCAGAGGCAUUGAGCUCCCAUCGAUUGAUCCAUCAUUUAGAUCUCUUUCAUUGGCUUAACUCGCGCUGUAUUGCAUGGUCGCACCAGAAGUCGCAGAGAAUGACUGGGAGGUUUUCAGAAGUUCUUUAUCUGCUUUGGCUGUUAGAAAUACCAAACUAAAGGCUAAAUUGAAAGAAGUUGAAAGUCAGGCAGAUCUUAGUAAAAGAAACAUGGAUCACCAGAACUGUGCAAAACAAUGAUGGACUGACUUGUUUUCACUGACCUAGACUUUAUCUAAAAGACUCUUGGAGACUUGUUGGCUGUUUGCAUGAGUUGUGUCUUGCUGUAAAUAUGAAUAGAGAAUAAAUCAAUGAAUUAGGUUUGCUUUCUAUGAUUCCUAAAACAUAUGUCUAGGAAGAAUUCUGCAUUUGGGAAAUGUUAAAGUGGACUAUAGCAUCCAUUUACUACCAAUUUAUCACUCUAUUCUUCAA
Long non-coding RNA from Panicum virgatum (switchgrass), 803 nucleotides. RefSeq lists it as uncharacterized. The transcript is spliced from 3 exons. Lineage: Eukaryota; Viridiplantae; Streptophyta; Magnoliopsida; Poales; Poaceae. The record is from RefSeq and is a predicted model, not a curated record.